CCCCUCUCAAGGUCGCACCUGGAGAGUUUCCAGUCCUCUACCAGUCUCGGCUACGGGAGAAAGAGUCAAGCAGAGGCCUAACCCAUUCCAUUCCUAGCUUGACCAGUGGCUAGCCAGUGGAAGACAAUCGGCUCCAAGU
Molecule: non-coding RNA, 139 nt
Organism: Ornithorhynchus anatinus (platypus)
Lineage: Eukaryota; Metazoa; Chordata; Mammalia; Monotremata; Ornithorhynchidae
Source: Rfam